Molecule: long non-coding RNA, 868 nt
Organism: Triticum dicoccoides
Lineage: Eukaryota; Viridiplantae; Streptophyta; Magnoliopsida; Poales; Poaceae
Exons: 2
Source: RefSeq, a predicted model, not a curated record
UCCCACAGAUCCCCCGCCGUGCUCGAGCGCGAGCGCCUCCUCACUCCCUCGUCCAAGAAGCAGGCACGAGCAGGCGCCCCUCUCCCGUAGCUCGAAUUUGAGUGAGUCGAGUGAGCGCUUCCUCGCACCCUCGUCCACGAAGGAGGCAGCUCUCAAGGGCCCUUUUUCCCCGCAGCGAACCCAGUGGGUCGGGCCAAACCCCCGCCGGCGAUCUGCAGCAGGACCCCGCUGGAAGUACCAACUCCAACACAACAAUGGCGCCGCCCAUGGAUCUCAGAACUGCCGCUGUCACGCCCGCGUCAUUCGGAACCUUCACCGACACAUGCCAUCGCGAUCUUGCAUGUGCGUGUCAGCACCACAACAAUGGCGCUGCCCAGAUCUCAGAACUCUCGUCGUCAUGCCCGCGUCAUUCGUCGGAAUCUUCACCGACGCCCGUCGUCGCGAUUCUGCAUGUGCGUGUCAGCGGGAGCAUCUCCCACGUUGGCCUCGACCGCCCCUCGCCGUCUCCCUCUCUUUGAGUCACAGGCCGACGGCGAGCUCGUGGCAUGAAGGCCCGACGGCCAUGGCUUCCUGCGAAGGAGAGAGAGAGAGAAAGAGAGGGAGGUGAGAGAUAGAAGUGGAGGGCCAGGAGGGAAGGAGAGGAGGGCAGGGUUGGCGCCUUAGUCCGACGGCGGCGCUCUGGUGGCUGGCCGGCGCGGGGCGGCGGGGAGGCUCGAGCGCGAGCCCGCGCGUGAAGGCGCUGGGCGCGGUCGGCGGUGGCGGACGCAGGAUCGCGGGUUGAAUGCAAAUAAACAAAGGGUGUUUUUGUAAAAAUGAAACGUUUUCUUAGGUCCAUUUAAAAUAGAACUGCGGGUUGAAUAUCUAAAAA